GUGGGGAAUAUUGGACAAUGGGCGAAAGCCUGAUCCAGCCAUGCCGCGUGUGUGAAGAAGGCCUUUUGGUUGUAAAGCACUUUAAGCGAGGAGGAGGCUACCGAGAUUAAUACUCUUGGAUAGUGGACGUUACUCGCAGAAUAAGCACCGGCUAACUCUGUGCCAGCAGCCGCGGUAAUACAGAGGGUGCGAGCGUUAAUCGGAUUUACUGGGCGUAAAGCGUGCGUAGGCGGCUUUUUAAGUCGGAUGUGAAAUCCCUGAGCUUAACUUAGGAAUUGCAUUCGAUACUGGGAAGCUAGAGUAUGGGAGAGGAUGGUAGAAUUCCAGGUGUAGCGGUGAAAUGCGUAGAGAUCUGGAGGAAUACCGAUGGCGAAGGCAGCCAUCUGGCCUAAUACUGACGCUGAGGUACGAAAGCAUGGGGAGCAAACAGGAUUAGAAACCCUUGUAGUCC
This 451-nucleotide ribosomal RNA is filed under the name uncultured bacterium. RNAcentral describes it as "partial 16S ribosomal RNA". It matches the Rfam family "Bacterial small subunit ribosomal RNA", at positions 354 to 796 of the family's 1533-position model. The record is from RNAcentral.